Molecule: ribosomal RNA, 804 nt
Filed under: Macaca mulatta (Rhesus monkey)
Lineage: Eukaryota; Metazoa; Chordata; Mammalia; Primates; Cercopithecidae
Description: partial 16S ribosomal RNA
Rfam family: Bacterial large subunit ribosomal RNA (bases 154-629)
Source: RNAcentral
CAAUACUAGCCCUAAGCAUAACCAACACUAAUACCAAACUAACACGCACUAAACCAUUCACCUACACAAAGUAUAGGCGAUAGAAAUUUUAAUCUGGCGCUAUAGACGCAGUACCGUAAGGGAAAGAUGAAACCACCCAAGCACAAAACAGCAAGGACUAACCCCUGUACCUUUCGCAUAAUGAAUUAGCUAGAAACAAUUUCACAAAGAGAACUACAAGCCAAAUUCCCCGAAACCAGACGAGCUACCCAAAAACAGCUAAAAGAGCGCACCCAUCUAUGUGGCAAAAUAGUGGGAAGAUUUCUGGGUAGAGGUGACAAGCCUACCGAGCCUGGUGAUAGCUGGUUAUCCAAGAUAGAAUUUUAGUUCAACCUUAAGUUUACCUGUAGAACUACCCAAUCCCCCUGUAAACUUAAUUGUUAGUCUAAAGAGGGACAGCUCUUCAGACAUCAGGAAAAAACCUUGUAUAGAGAGUAAAAAAUCUGACCUCCAUAGUUGGCCCAAAAGCAGCCAUCAAUUAAGAAAGCGUUCAAGCUCNACAUCAAUUAUAUAAAAAUUCCAAACACACCACUAAACUCCUUAUUCCACAUUGGAUUAAUCUAUCAUUUCAUAGAAGCAACAAUGCUAAUAUAAGUAACAUGAACAUUUUCUCCGCCGCAUAAGCCUAAAUCAGACUGAAAAACUUCACCGAUGCUUAACAGCCUAACACUAACAAACAGAAACAAGUCAGUAUUACUCACACUGUUAACCCGACACAGGCAUGCUUUAAGGAAAGGUUAAAAAAAGUAAAAGGAACUCAGCAAA